RNAcentral lists this unclassified non-coding RNA (381 nucleotides) under Hevea brasiliensis (rubber tree). The record is from RNAcentral. Lineage: Eukaryota; Viridiplantae; Streptophyta; Magnoliopsida; Malpighiales; Euphorbiaceae.
UGUCUUGCCUUGCCAUCAAGUUUCUGCAGAAUAACAAAAAAAAUUUCAGGAAAUGUGGCAACCCUCUAUGUAACAAGAAACUUGAAGAAAACAAUUGAUCCAAUGGUUAGAGAGUCUAUAUGGCAACAAACAAUUGUUAACCAACAUUAAUUCUGCAGUCCCCACAAAAUGUUAUAAUUCUUUCUUCCCAUGCCCCUUUGAGAAUAGGAUGUUGCCAAAUAGAAUUGUGGAUUGGAUUUGUAAUCAGAUAAAAGAUUUGAAUUUUAGAAUUUAAGCAAAAACCAAAUGAAUUUAGCUGUACAAGAUAAAACUUUUACCAAGAGCAUAAUAUCUAUUAGAAGUAUUUUAUAGGAAAUGGACAAGCUUACUUUUCCAUGCGGC